UCGGGAAUUUUGGGCAAUGGGCGAAAGCCUGACCCAGCAACGCCGCGUGAAGGAUGAAGUCUCUCGGGAUGUAAACUUCGUAAGAAUAGGAAGAAUAAAUGACGGUACUAUUUGUAAGGUCCGGCUAACUACGUGCCAGCAGCCGCGGUAAUACGUAGGGACCAAGCGUUGUUCGGAUUUACUGGGCGUAAAGGGCGCGUAGGCGGCGUGGUAAGUCACUUGUGAAAUCUCCGAGCUUAACUCGGAACGGUCAAGUGAUACUGCUGUGCUAGAGUACAGAAGGGGCAAUCGGAAUUCUUGGUGUAGCGGUGAAAUGCGUAGAUAUCGGAAGGAACAUCGGUGGCGAAGGCGUCUACCUGGCCUAAUACUGACACUGAGGCACGAAAGCGUGGGGAGCAAACAGGAUUAGAUACCCCCGUAGUCCCUGAGCGGGCUGGCAAGGCGCAU
Molecule: ribosomal RNA, 447 nt
Filed under: uncultured bacterium
Lineage: Bacteria
Description: bacterial SSU rRNA
Rfam family: Bacterial small subunit ribosomal RNA
Source: RNAcentral